RNAcentral lists this ribosomal RNA (2957 nucleotides) under Acinetobacter baumannii. RNAcentral's name for it is "23S ribosomal RNA". It matches the Rfam family "Bacterial large subunit ribosomal RNA". Lineage: Bacteria; Pseudomonadati; Pseudomonadota; Gammaproteobacteria; Moraxellales; Moraxellaceae. The record is from RNAcentral.
GUUGUAUAGUCAAGUAAUUAAGUGCAUGUGGUGGAUGCCUUGGCAGUCAGAGGCGAUGAAAGACGUGAUAGCCUGCGAAAAGCUCCGGGGAGGCGGCAAAUAUCCUUUGAUCCGGAGAUGUCUGAAUGGGGGAACCCACCUACUUUAAGGUAGGUAUUGCAACAUGAAUACAUAGUGUUGCAAGGCGAACGAGGGGAAGUGAAACAUCUCAGUACCCUUAGGAAAAGAAAUCAAUUGAGAUUCCCUCAGUAGCGGCGAGCGAACGGGGAUCAGCCCAUUAAGUUAUGUGUGUUUUAGUGGAACGCUCUGGGAAGUGCGAACGUAGAGGGUGAUAUUCCCGUACACGAAAGGGCACACAUAAUGAUGACGAGUAGGGCGAGGCACGUGAAACCUUGUCUGAAUAUGGGGGGACCAUCCUCCAAGGCUAAAUACUCCUGACUGACCGAUAGUGAACCAGUACCGUGAGGGAAAGGCGAAAAGAACCCCUGUGAGGGGAGUGAAAUAGAUCCUGAAACCGCAUGCAUACAAGCAGUGGGAGCACCUUCGUGGUGUGACUGCGUACCUUUUGUAUAAUGGGUCAGCGACUUAUAUUCAGUAGCAAGGUUAACCGUAUAGGGGAGCCGUAGAGAAAUCGAGUCUUAAUAGGGCGUUUAGUUGCUGGGUAUAGACCCGAAACCAGGCGAUCUAUCCAUGAGCAGGUUGAAGGUUGGGUAACACUAACUGGAGGACCGAACCCACUGUCGUUGAAAAGCCAGGGGAUGACUUGUGGAUAGGGGUGAAAGGCUAAUCAAGCCUGGUGAUAGCUGGUUCUCCCCGAAAGCUAUUUAGGUAGCGCCUCGGACGAAUACCAUAGGGGGUAGAGCACUGUUUCGGCUAGGGGGUCAUCCCGACUUACCAAACCGAUGCAAACUCCGAAUACCUAUGAGUACUAUCCGGGAGACAGACUGCGGGUGCUAACGUCCGUAGUCAAGAGGAAAACAAUCCAGACCGCCAGCUAAGGCCCCAAAAUCAUAGUUAAGUGGGAAACGAUGUGGGAAGGCAUAGACAGCUAGGAGGUUGGCUUAGAAGCAGCCACCCUUUAAAGAAAGCGUAAUAGCUCACUAGUCGAGUCGGCCUGCGCGGAAGAUGUAACGGGGCUAAAACUAUGUGCCGAAGCUGCGGAUUGACANNNNNNNNNNNNNNNNNNNNNNNNNNNNNNNNNNNNNNNNNNNNNNNNNNNNNNNNNNNNNNNNNNNNNNNNNNNNNNNNNNNNNNNNNNNNNGUAUGCUGGAGGUAUCAGAAGUGCGAAUGCUGACGUGAGUAACGACAAAACGGGUGAAAAACCCGUUCGCCGAAAGACCAAGGGUUCCAGUCCAACGUUAAUCGGGGCUGGGUGAGUCGACCCCUAAGGCGAGGCCGAAAGGCGUAGUCGAUGGGAAAAUGGUUAAUAUUCCAUUACUUCUGUGUAAUGCGAUGAGAGGACGGAGAAGGCUAAAUCAGCCUGGCGUUGGUUGUCCAGGUGAAAGGAUGUAGGCAUGUAUCUUAGGCAAAUCCGGGGUACUCUAUGCUGAGAUCUGAUAGCAAGCUGUACUUGUACAGCGAAGUGGUUGAUGCCAUGCUUCCAGGAAAAGUCUCUAAGCUUCAGUUACACAGGAAUCGUACCCGAAACCGACACAGGUGGUCAGGUCGAGUAGACCAAGGCGCUUGAGAGAACUCUGCUGAAGGAACUAGGCAAAAUGGUACCGUAACUUCGGGAGAAGGUACGCUGUUGUUGGUGAUGGAACUCGCUUCCUGAGCUGACGACAGCCGCAGAAACCAGGCCGCUGCAACUGUUUAUUAAAAACAUAGCACUCUGCAAACACGAAAGUGGACGUAUAGGGUGUGAUGCCUGCCCGGUGCUGGAAGGUUAAUUGAUGGGGUUAGCGUAAGCGAAGCUCUUGAUCGAAGCCCCAGUAAACGGCGGCCGUAACUAUAACGGUCCUAAGGUAGCGAAAUUCCUUGUCGGGUAAGUUCCGACCUGCACGAAUGGCAUAAUGAUGGCGGCGCUGUCUCCAGCAGAGGCUCAGUGAAAUCGAAAUCGCUGUGAAGAUGCAGUGUACCCGCGGCUAGACGGAAAGACCCCGUGAACCUUUACUGCAGCUUGACACUGAACUUUGACCUUACUUGUGUAGGAUAGGUGGGAGGCUUUGAAGCUGGAACGCUAGUUCCAGUGGAGCCGUCCUUGAAAUACCACCCUGGUAAUGUUGAGGUUCUAACUCUGUCCCGUGAUCCGGGACGAGGACCGUGUCUGGUGGGUAGUUUGACUGGGGCGGUCUCCUCCUAAAGAGUAACGGAGGAGUACGAAGGUGCGCUCAGCGUGGUCGGAAAUCACGCGUAGAGUAUAAAGGCAAAAGCGCGCUUAACUGCGAGACCCACAAGUCGAGCAGGUACGAAAGUAGGUCUUAGUGAUCCGGUGGUUCUGUAUGGAAGGGCCAUCGCUCAACGGAUAAAAGGUACUCUGGGGAUAACAGGCUGAUACCGCCCAAGAGUUCAUAUCGACGGCGGUGUUUGGCACCUCGAUGUCGGCUCAUCUCAUCCUGGGGCUGAAGCAGGUCCCAAGGGUAUGGCUGUUCGCCAUUUAAAGAGGUACGCGAGCUGGGUUUAGAACGUCGUGAGACAGUUCGGUCCCUAUCUACCGUGGGCGCUGGAAAUUUGAGAGGAUCUGCUCCUAGUACGAGAGGACCAGAGUGGACGAACCUCUGGUGUACCGGUUGUGACGCCAGUCGCAUCGCCGGGUAGCUAUGUUCGGAAGGGAUAACCGCUGAAAGCAUCUAAGCGGGAAGCCUACCUCAAGAUAAGAUUUCCCUAGGACUUUAUGUCCUCUAAAGAGCCGUUCGAGACUAGGACGUUGAUAGGUUGGAUGUGGAAGCAUAGUGAUAUGUGAAGCUGACCAAUACUAAUUGCUCGUGAGGCUUGACUAUACAACACCCAAGCAGUUG